AACCCUCACCAGAGUAGCAAUUGGAGGGCAAGUCUGGUGCCAGCAGCCGCGGUAAUUCCAGCUCCAAUAGCGUAUAUUAAACUUGUUGCAGUUAAAAAGCUCGUAGUUGAAUUUUAGCGUGUUCGAGUUUGCCAUUCGUUUGGCUUUUUCGAGUUCGCUUUUGGGUUUUCCCUUUUUACUUUGAGAAAAUUAGAGUGUUUCAAGCAGACUUUUGUCUUGAAUACUUCAGCAUGGAAUAAUAGAGUAGGACUUUGGUUCUAUUUUGUUGGUUAUUGAACCUUAGUAAUGGUUAAUAGGAACGGUUGGGGGCAUUCGUAUUUAACUGUCAGAGGUGAAAUUCUUAGAUUUGUUAAAGACGAACUACUGCGAAAGCAUUUGCCAAGGACGUUUCCAUUAAUCAAGAACGAAAGUUAGGGGAUCGAAGACGAUCAG
RNAcentral lists this ribosomal RNA (432 nucleotides) under Babesia vogeli. Its description in RNAcentral is "SSU rRNA". It matches the Rfam family "Eukaryotic small subunit ribosomal RNA", at positions 528 to 1011 of the family's 1831-position model. Lineage: Eukaryota; Apicomplexa; Aconoidasida; Piroplasmida; Babesiidae. The record is from RNAcentral.